This 1093-nucleotide unclassified non-coding RNA is filed under the name Hevea brasiliensis (rubber tree). Lineage: Eukaryota; Viridiplantae; Streptophyta; Magnoliopsida; Malpighiales; Euphorbiaceae. The record is from RNAcentral.
GAAAGAUUGUAUUGUGGGCUUAGGAGAAGGAAGAUGAAGCAACAUCACAAGUUGACAGUGGCUUUGUGCGGGAUAUGGGCGGCCACUCUUCUUUACGGCGAGAUGCUUGCCUUCUGGGUGCCCUCUAUCUGGUCUUGUUCCUGGCCUCACCUUCAUCAUUCUCCCCUUUCAUCUACCAAUUCCACGGUCAAAGAAGUAGGAGCUCAAAGUGAUUAUGUAAAAGUUGCUGUCCUAGCAGAUCCGCAGCUUAUGGACAGAACCUCCCUUCACCUACCUCCAAAAUCAUUUGCUUUGGAGACUGCUCAAUUUUAUACUGAUUUAUACAUGCGCAGGGCAUUCUUUUCAUCUAUCCUACCUUUCAAACCUCAUGUGAUUUUGUUUUUGGGUGAUUACUUUGAUGGAGGCCCUUAUUUAUCAGAUCAAGAGUAAGGCCUGCAAAUUUCCGUUUGAAACUUCAAUUAGCCGCUUUGUACUUACAGGUCCACAAUGUGUGCACCUUGCUUUUUGAAAUAAUAUCUGCCACUUUAAAUGAUUUCUUACAUGAACUCUGGCAUUCUUCGAAUAUUACAAAACUGAACUAUGGAAAAUUUCUGGAAACCUUUGCUGGACUGGACAUUUAUUUUUAUGCCUUGCAAUGGAUAUUUGAAAUCCAUUUUUCACUUCACUUGUCUCCACUUUGGCUUUCAACAUAUUGAUUGGAUAUAUGUUAUCCUAUCACUAUGUAUGACCUGCUCUUAGCUUUGUUUUCUACAUUUUUCUAUUCCAAAUUUUGUCUCAACAUGUGUCGGUUCCACUCUUGGGACUAUUUAUCUCCUCAGCAUAUUACUUGUUAUUUUCUGCUGCAGAAUGCCCCUGUGUUGGAAGUUGAUGUGAUUUUUAGUAUGUGUACAAGAAAAUAAAAGAGCCAUACCUAAGCAUAGUGCAAGUAUAUUUUCCUAUAAAAAGGAAGAUGUUGCUGCUAGAAAAAUAGUGCAGAGGGCUGGAAAAAGAGUUUUGAGAGAGCUAGCAAAAUGAGGAAGAAAAGAAAGAAAAAAAAAAUGGAAUUUGUAGUUGUUAAUCCUCCAUUUUAGUGAUGAAUUUAUGGUUUUCUUUC